UACAGAGGGUGCAAGCGUUGUUCGGAUUUACUGGGCGUAAAGGGCGCGUAGGCGGCAAUUCAAGUCAUCUGUGAAAUCUCCGGGCUUAACUCGGAACGGUCAGAUGAUACUGCUUUGCUAGAGUGCGGAAGGGGCAAUCGGAAUUCUUGGUGUAGCGGUGAAAUGCGUAGAUAUCAAGAGGAACACCUGAGGUGAAGACGGGUUGCUGGGCCGACACUGACGCUGAUAGCGCGAAAGCCAGGGGAGCAAACGGG
Molecule: ribosomal RNA, 254 nt
Filed under: uncultured bacterium
Lineage: Bacteria
Description: partial 16S ribosomal RNA
Rfam family: Bacterial small subunit ribosomal RNA
Source: RNAcentral